RNAcentral lists this ribosomal RNA (468 nucleotides) under uncultured bacterium. RNAcentral's name for it is "partial 16S ribosomal RNA". It matches the Rfam family "Bacterial small subunit ribosomal RNA", at positions 28 to 507 of the family's 1533-position model. The record is from RNAcentral.
GACGAACGCUGGCGGCGUGCUUAACACAUGCAAGUCGAACGGAAAGGCCCUGCUUUUGUGGGGUGCUCGAGUGGCGAACGGGUGAGUAACACGUGAGUAACCUGCCCUUGACUUUGGGAUAACUUCAGGAAACUGGGGCUAAUACCGGAUAGGAGCUCCUGCUGCAUGGUGGGGGUUGGAAAGUUUCGGCGGUUGGGGAUGGACUCGCGGCUUAUCAGCUUGUUGGUGGGGUAGUGGCUUACCAAGGCUUUGACGGGUAGCCGGCCUGAGAGGGUGACCGGCCACAUUGGGACUGAGAUACGGCCCAGGCUCCUAAGGGAGGCAGCAGUGGGGAAUAUUGCACAAUGGGCGGAAGCCUGAUGCAGCAACGCCGCGUGCGGGAUGACGGCCUUCGGGUUGUAAACCGCUUUCGCCUGUGACGAAGCGUGAGUGACGGUAAUGGGUAAAGAAGCAACGGCUAACUACGUG